Molecule: small nuclear RNA, 102 nt
Organism: Suncus etruscus (white-toothed pygmy shrew)
Lineage: Eukaryota; Metazoa; Chordata; Mammalia; Eulipotyphla; Soricidae
Source: RefSeq, a predicted model, not a curated record
GUGCUCACUUUGGUAGCACAUAUACUAAAAUUGGAACGAUAGAGAUUAGCUUGGCCCCUAUGCAAAGAUGCCACACAAAAUCAACAAAUAAAAAACAGCUCC